RNAcentral lists this ribosomal RNA (406 nucleotides) under uncultured bacterium. RNAcentral describes it as "partial 16S ribosomal RNA". It matches the Rfam family "Bacterial small subunit ribosomal RNA", at positions 36 to 526 of the family's 1533-position model. The record is from RNAcentral.
CUUUCCCUCUUUCUGCCUUCCUAACACAUGCAAGUCGAACGAGUGGCGGACGGGUGAGUAAUGUAUGGGAAACUGCCUGAUGGAGGGGGAUAACUACUGGAAACGGUAGCUAAUACCGCAUACCAUCAGAUGUGCCCAGAUGGGAUUAGCUUGUUGGUGGUUUACCGGCUCACCAAGGCGACGAUCCCUAGCGGGUCUGAGAGGAUGACCAGCCACACUGGAACUGAGACACGGUCCAGACUCCGACGGGAGGCAGCAGUGGGGAAUAUUGCACAAUGGGCGCAAGCCUGCUGCAGCCAUGCCGCGUGUAUGAAGAAGGCCUUCGGUUUGUAAAGUACUUUCAGCGGGGAGGCGUUACCCGCAGAAGAAGCACCGGCUAACUCCGUGCCAGGAGCCGAGGGAAUUC